RNAcentral lists this ribosomal RNA (253 nucleotides) under uncultured bacterium. RNAcentral's name for it is "partial 16S ribosomal RNA". It matches the Rfam family "Bacterial small subunit ribosomal RNA", at positions 524 to 776 of the family's 1533-position model. The record is from RNAcentral.
UACAGAGGGUGCGAGCGUUAAUCGGAAUAACUGGGCGUAAAGGGCGCGUAGGCGGUGAUAUAAGAGUGAUGUGAAAGCCCUGGGCUUAACCUGGGAAGUGCAUCGCUGACUGUAUGACUAGAGUCUAGGAGAGGGUGGUGGAAUUUCCGGUGUAGCGGUGAAAUGCGUAGAGAUCGGAAGGGACAUCGAUGGCGAAGGCAGCCACCUGGCCAAAGACUGACGCUGAGGCGCGAAAGCGUGGGGAGCGAACAGG